Molecule: ribosomal RNA, 1343 nt
Filed under: uncultured bacterium
Lineage: Bacteria
Description: 16S ribosomal RNA
Rfam family: Bacterial small subunit ribosomal RNA
Source: RNAcentral
GACGAACGCUGGCGGCGUGCUUAACACAUGCAAGUCGAACGGAAAGGCCCUGCUUUUGUGGGGUGCUCGAGUGGCGAACGGGUGAGUAACACGUGAGUAACCUGCCCUUGACUUUGGGAUAACUUCAGGAAACUGGGGCUAAUACCGGAUAGGAGCUCCUGCUGCAUGGUGGGGGUUGGAAAGUUUCGGCGGUUGGGGAUGGACUCGCGGCUUAUCAGCUUGUUGGUGGGGUAGUGGCUUACCAAGGCUUUGACGGGUAGCCGGCCUGAGAGGGUGACCGGCCACAUUGGGACUGAGAUACGGCCCAGACUCCUACGGGAGGCAGCAGUGGGGAAUAUUGCACAAUGGGCGGAAGCCUGAUGCAGCAACGCCGCGUGCGGGAUGACGGCCUUCGGGUUGUAAACCGCUUUCGCCUGUGACGAAGCGUGAGUGACGGUAAUGGGUAAAGAAGCACCGGCUAACUACGUGCCAGCAGCCGCGGUGAUACGUAGGGUGCGAGCGUUGUCCGGAUUUAUUGGGCGUAAAGGGCUCGUAGGUGGUUGAUCGCGUCGGAAGUGUAAUCUUGGGGCUUAACCCUGAGCGUGCUUUCGAUACGGGUUGACUUGAGGAAGGUAGGGGAGAAUGGAAUUCCUGGUGGAGCGGUGGAAUGCGCAGAUAUCAGGAGGAACACCAGUGGCGAAGGCGGUUCUCUGGGCCUUUCCUGACGCUGAGGAGCGAAAGCGUGGGGAGCGAACAGGCUUAGAUACCCUGGUAGUCCACGCUGUAAACGGUGGGUACUAGGUGUGGGGUCCAUUCCACGGGUUCCGUGCCGUAGCUAACGCUUUAAGUACCCCGCCUGGGGAGUACGGCCGCAAGGCUAAAACUCAAAGGAAUUGACGGGGCCCCGCACAAGCGGCGGAGCAUGCGGAUUAAUUCGAUGCAACGCGUAGAACCUUACCUGGGUUUGACAUGGAUCGGGAGUGCUCAGAGAUGGGUGUGCCUCUUUUGGGGUCGGUUCACAGGUGGUGCAUGGCUGUCGUCAGCUCGUGUCGUGAGAUGUUGGGUUAAGUCCCGCAACGAGCGCAACCCUUGUUCACUGUUGCCAGCACGUUAUGGUGGGGACUCAGUGGAGACCGCCGGGGUCAACUCGGAGGAAGGUGGGGAUGACGUCAAGUCAUCAUGCCCCUUAUGUCCAGGGCUUCACGCAUGCUACAAUGGCUGGUACAGAGAGUGGCGAGCCUGUGAGGGUGAGCGAAUCUCGGAAAGCCGGUCUCAGUUCGGAUUGGGGUCUGCAACUCGACCUCGUGAAGUCGGAGUCGCUAGUAAUCGCAGAUCAGCAACGCUGCGGUGAAUACGUUCCCGGG